RNAcentral lists this ribosomal RNA (254 nucleotides) under uncultured bacterium. Its description in RNAcentral is "partial 16S ribosomal RNA". It matches the Rfam family "Bacterial small subunit ribosomal RNA", at positions 524 to 776 of the family's 1533-position model. The record is from RNAcentral.
UACGAGGGGGGCAAGCGUUGUUCGGAAUUAUUGGGCGUAAAGGGCGCGUAGGCGGUGCGGUAAGUCACCUGUGAAAUCUCCUGGCUCAACUGGGAGCUUGCAGGCGAAACUGCCGUGCUGGAGUGUGGGAGAGGUGCGUGGAAUUCCUGGUGUAGCGGUGAAAUGCGUAGAUAUCAGGAGGAACACCUGUGGCGAAAAGCGGCGCACUGGACCACAACUGACGCUGAGGCGCGAAAGCUAGGGGAGCAAACAGG